GGCCUCGUGGCCUAAUGGAUAUAGCGUGUGCCUCCUAAGCAUGAGAUUGCGGGUUCGAGUCCCGCCGGGGCCC
Tritrichomonas musculus is the source of this 73-nucleotide non-coding RNA. The record is from the annotation of a GenBank genome assembly. Lineage: Eukaryota; Parabasalia; Tritrichomonadida; Tritrichomonadidae.